UUCUGCAAGAAGACAAAUCAGUGAUGUUAAACAUUGUGUCAUUUAAACAGGAUAUACUGCACUGUUUUUUCAAACAUCAAGAGGUCACAAGAUCAGUUUAACAAGUGGAGAUCAUCCUAAAAUAACCUUUACUGCAUUUUCUGUUACCAUUUACAAUACUACACCCAUUUUACCUCUGAGCACACUGUGGGUCACCAGGAAGGUCAGCAGUACCAGAUAGGAUCUUUUUCUGAGUGUAAGCAGUGAGCUGCUACAGCGGCAUGACUGCCUGCGGGGACUGAUACAGUUUUACUUUGUGUCCUGAGUGUACCUGGUGUAAAGGGGCUGACGGGAUCUGCUUUGGUGAAGGUCUGAGCAGCGCAGCGGUGUCCUCCAGCAGAGCUGCUAUGAGGCAGCAGCUCCAGGACACGAGCCCUUUCACUGGCGCAGUCCAACAGGUGUUUGCUGCUCUGACCCAGGGCCUGGAAGAGACAGAGCAGUGGACGGCCUCCUAGUCCUCCCCUCUGAGCUCCUCCUGUUGACGGUCAGAUCAGUCCUGAGGCUGCGCAGCAUCCUCUCAAGGUGACCCCUCUCCCUCUCCAGCUUGAUGCCCUCCUGGGUCACCCUGCCGGCUUGCCUGCGCAGCUGGCCCUCCACCUCCCGCACCCUUCGCAUGUACUCACCGGCCACGGCAAUGCUGGCCCCAGCACACCGCUCACGCAAGCUGAUGGAGUCACGAUUCUCUCCGCAUUCCUCCUCUGUGAUCUUAUCUUCGGUUGUUUCCGCUGUGCAGUCUGUGCGCUUUGGGGUAAAACUGGCGGCGGCGCUGCAGCUAGGGGGCCGGCUGGAAGUCCCGGAC
This is a long non-coding RNA of Micropterus salmoides (largemouth bass), 838 nucleotides long. RefSeq lists it as uncharacterized. The record is from RefSeq and is a predicted model, not a curated record. The transcript is spliced from 4 exons. Lineage: Eukaryota; Metazoa; Chordata; Actinopteri; Centrarchiformes; Centrarchidae.